RNAcentral lists this ribosomal RNA (253 nucleotides) under uncultured bacterium. Its description in RNAcentral is "partial 16S ribosomal RNA". It matches the Rfam family "Bacterial small subunit ribosomal RNA", at positions 524 to 776 of the family's 1533-position model. The record is from RNAcentral.
UACGGAGGGGGCAAGCGUUGUUCGGAAUUACUGGGCGUAAAGGGCGCGUAGGCGGACCUUCAAGUCAGGGGUGAAAGGCCUGGGCUCAACCUGGGAACUGCCUUUGAAACUGGAGGUCUUGAGUCCGGGAGAGGAUGGCGGAAUUCCCAGUGUAGAGGUGAAAUUCGUAGAUAUUGGGAAGAACACCGGUGGCGAAGGCGGCCAUCUGGUCCGGCACUGACGCUGAGGAGCGAAAGCGUGGGGAGCAAACAGG